GAUGAACGCUGGCGGCGUGCUUAACACAUGCAAGUCGAACGGAAAGGCCUCUGCUUGCAGGGGUACUCGAGUGGCGAACGGGUGAGUAACACGUGGGUGAUCUGCCCUGCACUUCGGGAUAAGCCUGGGAAACUGGGUCUAAUACCGGAUAGGACAAUGGUUUGGAUGCUGUUGUGGAAAGUUUUUCGGUGUGGGAUGAGCUCGCGGCCUAUCAGCUUGUUGGUGGGGUAAUGGCCUACCAAGGCGUCGACGGGUAGCCGGCCUGAGAGGGUGUACGGCCACCAUUGGACUCGGAGACCGCCCAGACUUCUACGGGUUGGAGGAGUGGGGGAGAUUGGCCAAUGGGCGCCAGACUGUUGCAGCGACGCCGCGUGGGGGAUGACGGCCUUCGGGUUGUAAACUCCUUUCGCUAGGGACGAAGCGUUUUUGUGACGGUACCUUGAGAAGAAGCACCGGCUAACUACGUG
RNAcentral lists this ribosomal RNA (467 nucleotides) under uncultured bacterium. RNAcentral describes it as "partial 16S ribosomal RNA". It matches the Rfam family "Bacterial small subunit ribosomal RNA", at positions 28 to 507 of the family's 1533-position model. The record is from RNAcentral.